This 426-nucleotide ribosomal RNA is filed under the name uncultured bacterium. Its description in RNAcentral is "partial 16S ribosomal RNA". It matches the Rfam family "Bacterial small subunit ribosomal RNA", at positions 354 to 796 of the family's 1533-position model. The record is from RNAcentral.
GUGAGGAAUUUUCCGCAAUGGGCGAAAGCCUGACGGAGCAAUGCCGCGUGAAGGAUGAAGGCCUAUGGGUUGUAAACUUCUUUUCUCAGAAAAGAAUUAUGACGGUAUCUGAGGAAUAAGCAUCGGCUAACUCUGUGCCAGCAGCCGCGGUAAGACAGAGGAUGCAAGCGUUAUCCGGAAUGAUUGGGCGUAAAGCGUCUGUUGGUUGUUUAAAAAGUAUUCUGUCAAAGAUUAGGGCUUAACCCUAGAUAGGCAGAAUAAACUUUUAAGCUAGAGUUUGGUAGAGGCAGAGGGAAUUCCCGGUGGAGCGGUGAAAUGCGUAGAUAUCGGGAGGAACACCAAAGGCGAAGGCACUCUGCUGGGCCAAUACUAACACUGAGAGACGAAAGCGAGGGGAGCAAAUGGGAUUAGAUACCCGAGUAGUCC